CCUACGGGCGGCAGCAGUGGGGAAUAUUGCACAAUGGGGGGAACCCUGAUGCAGCGACGCCGCGUGAGUGAAGAAGGAUUUCGGUAUGUAAAGCUCUAUCAGCAGGGAAGAAGAUGACGGUACCUGACGAAGAAGCCCCGGCUAACUACGUGCCAGCAGCCGCGGUAAUACGUAGGGGGCAAGCGUUAUCCGGAUUUACUGGGGGUAAAGGGAGCGUAGACGGCAGGGCAAGUCUGGAGUGAAAGCCCGGGGCUCAACCCCGGGACUGCUUUGGAAACUGCCAUGCUGGAGUGCUGGAGAGGUAAGCGGAAUUCCUAGUGUAGCGGUGAAAUGCGUAGAUAUUAGGAGGAACACCAGUGGCGAAGGCGGCUUACUGGACAGUAACUGACGUUGAGGCUCGAAAGCGUGGGGAGCAAACAGGAUUAGAUACCCCAGUAGUC
Molecule: ribosomal RNA, 440 nt
Filed under: uncultured bacterium
Lineage: Bacteria
Description: partial 16S ribosomal RNA
Rfam family: Bacterial small subunit ribosomal RNA
Source: RNAcentral